This 120-nucleotide transfer RNA is filed under the name Sporormia fimetaria CBS 119925. Its description in RNAcentral is "tRNA-Phe". Lineage: Eukaryota; Fungi; Ascomycota; Dothideomycetes; Pleosporales; Sporormiaceae. The record is from RNAcentral.
GUCGCUUUAGCUCACUUGGGAGAGCGUCAGACUGAAGAAUCAGGCCGUCAAACGCCUCAAACUUCGGUUCAACUCGAAUUUGAUAUCUGAAGGUACUGUGUUCGAUCCACAGAAGCGACA